RNAcentral lists this microRNA precursor (278 nucleotides) under Medicago truncatula (barrel medic). RNAcentral describes it as "MIR2655 microRNA precursor family". It matches the Rfam family "MIR2655 microRNA precursor family". The record is from Rfam by way of RNAcentral. Lineage: Eukaryota; Viridiplantae; Streptophyta; Magnoliopsida; Fabales; Fabaceae.
CCCUUAACUAUUAAAAGUUUCGUUUUGGUCCCUUAACUUAUUUUUUGGUUUCAUUUUGGUCCCUUAACUCUUCUUCCGUCAACCACUUUGAUCCUUUAUGUUAGAAUGAAUCUAUUAGAGUUAAGGACCAAAACGAAAUCAAAAAAUAAGUUAAGUGACCAAAACGAAACCAAAAAAUAAAUUAAGGGACCAAAACGAAACUUUUAAUAGUUAAGGGACCAAAACAAAACCAAAAAAUAAGUUAAGGGACCAAAACGAAACUUUUAAUAGUUAAGGGA